RNAcentral lists this ribosomal RNA (465 nucleotides) under Vreelandella stevensii. Its description in RNAcentral is "partial 16S ribosomal RNA". It matches the Rfam family "Bacterial small subunit ribosomal RNA", at positions 338 to 795 of the family's 1533-position model. The record is from RNAcentral. Lineage: Bacteria; Pseudomonadati; Pseudomonadota; Gammaproteobacteria; Oceanospirillales; Halomonadaceae.
CCUACGGGGGGCUGCAGUGGGGAAUAUUGGACAAUGGGGGGAACCCUGAUCCAGCCAUGCCGCGUGUGUGAAGAAGGCCCUCGGGUUGUAAAGCACUUUCAGUGAUGAAGAACGCCUGGUGGUUAAUACCCAUCAGGAAAGACAUCACUCACAGAAGAAGCACCGGCUAACUCCGUGCCAGCAGCCGCGGUAAUACGGAGGGUGCGAGCGUUAAUCGGAAUUACUGGGCGUAAAGCGCGCGUAGGUGGCUUGAUAAGCCGGUUGUGAAAGCCCCGGGCUCAACCUGGGAACGGCAUCCGGAACUGGCAAGCUAGAGUGCAGGAGAGGAAGGUAGAAUUCCCGGUGUAGCGGUGAAAUGCGUAGAGAUCGGGAGGAAUACCAGUGGCGAAGGCGGCCUUCUGGACUGACACUGACACUGAGGUGCGAAAGCGUGGGUAGCAAACAGGAUUAGAUACCCCAGUAGUC